RNAcentral lists this ribosomal RNA (473 nucleotides) under uncultured bacterium. RNAcentral's name for it is "bacterial SSU rRNA". It matches the Rfam family "Bacterial small subunit ribosomal RNA", at positions 355 to 825 of the family's 1533-position model. The record is from RNAcentral.
UGGGGAAUUGUUCACAAUGGGCGCAAGCCUGAUGACGCAACGCCGCGUGGGGGAUGAAGGUCUUCGGAUCGUAAACCCCUGUCGAAUGGGACGAAUAGCCCGCGAAUUAAUACCUCGUGGGAAUGACGGUACCGUUAAAGGAAGCCACGGCUAACUCUGUGCCAGCAGCCGCGGUAAUACAGAGGUGGCAAGCGUUGUUCGGAAUUACUGGGCGUAAAGGGCGCGUAGGCGGCCAUCUAAGUCAGACGUGAAAUCCCCCGGCUCAACCUGGGAACUGCGUCUGAUACUGGGAGGCUAGAGUUUGGGAGAGGGAUGUAGAAUUCCAGGUGUAGCGGUGAAAUGCGUAGAUAUCAAGAGGAACACCUGAGGUGAAGACGGGUUGCUGGGCUGACACUGACGCUGAGGCGCGAAAGCCAGGGGAGCAAACGGGAUUAGAUACCCGAGUAGUCCCUGAGCGGGCUGGCAAGGCGCAU